RNAcentral lists this ribosomal RNA (274 nucleotides) under uncultured bacterium. RNAcentral's name for it is "partial 16S ribosomal RNA". It matches the Rfam family "Bacterial small subunit ribosomal RNA", at positions 523 to 796 of the family's 1533-position model. The record is from RNAcentral.
AUACGGAGGGUGCAAGCGUUAUUCGGAAUCACUGGGCGUAAAGGGCGCGCAGGCGGUUUGGUAAGUCAGAUGUGAAAGCCCACGGCUCAACCGUGGAAGUGCAUUUGAAACUGCCAGACUUGAGUACCAGAGGGGAAAGUGGAAUUCCCGGUGUAGAGGUGAAAUUCGUAGAUAUCGGGAGGAAUACCGGUGGCGAAGGCGACUUUCUGGCUGGAUACUGACGCUGAGGCGCGAAAGCGUGGGGAGCAAACAGGAUUAGAAACCCUAGUAGUCC